Oryctolagus cuniculus (rabbit) is the source of this 146-nucleotide small nuclear RNA. Its record names the gene U2. It matches the Rfam family "U2 spliceosomal RNA". From Rfam's summary of the family: U2 is a small nuclear RNA (snRNA) component of the spliceosome (involved in pre-mRNA splicing). Complementary binding between U2 snRNA (in an area lying towards the 5' end but 3' to hairpin I) and the branchpoint sequence (BPS) of the intron results the bulging out of an unpaired adenosine, on the BPS, which initiates a nucleophilic attack at the intronic 5' splice site, thus starting the first of two transesterification reactions that mediate splicing. The record is from Ensembl. NCBI's taxonomy places the organism in Eukaryota, Metazoa, Chordata, Mammalia, Lagomorpha, Leporidae.
AUCUCUUCUUGGCCUUUUGGCUAAGAUCAAGUGUAAUAUGCGAAUUCAGUAUAAUGUUCUGUCUAACCUCUGCAUGUUAUCAUUAUCUUAAUCUUGAAAAUAAAAAAAAACAGGAGUCAAAUUCACAUCCUAUGAUUUCAAUUUUC